GUACGGGAGGCAGCAGCGAGGAAUAUUGCGCAAUGGGCGAAAGCCUGACGCAGUAACGCCGCGUGAGGGAAGAAGGCCUUCGGGUCGUAAACCUCUUUUCGGAGGGACGAGUGAGGACGGUACCUCUGGAAUAAGUCUCGGCUAACUACGUGCCAGCAGCCGCGGUAAGACGUAGGAGGCGAGCGUUAUCCGGAUUCACUGGGCGUAAAGCGCGUGUAGGCGGCUCGUCAAGUCGGUUGUGAAAGCCCCUGGCUCAACUGGGGGAGGUCAGCCGAGACUGUCGGGCUGGAGGCUCAGAGAGGAAGGUGGAAUUCCCGGUGUAGCGGUGGAAUGCGUAGAGAUCGGGAGGAACACCAGUGGCGAAGGCGGCCUUCUGGCUGAGGCCUGACGCUGAGACGCGAAAGCGUGGGUAGCAAACGGGAUUAGAUACCCCGGU
This 436-nucleotide ribosomal RNA is filed under the name uncultured bacterium. RNAcentral's name for it is "bacterial SSU rRNA". It matches the Rfam family "Bacterial small subunit ribosomal RNA", at positions 339 to 791 of the family's 1533-position model. The record is from RNAcentral.